RNAcentral lists this ribosomal RNA (331 nucleotides) under uncultured eukaryote. RNAcentral's name for it is "partial 18S ribosomal RNA". It matches the Rfam family "Eukaryotic small subunit ribosomal RNA", at positions 1470 to 1796 of the family's 1831-position model. The record is from RNAcentral.
CCCCUAGAUGUUCUGGGCCGCACGCGCGCUACACUGUUCGACGCAGCGAGUCUUAACCUUGACCGAAAGGUUUGGGUAAUCUUCAGCAAAGUCGAACGUGAUGGGGAUCGAUCAUUGCAAUUAUUGAUCGUGAACGAGGAAUUCCUAGUAAGUGCAAGUCAUCAGCUUGCGCUGAUUACGUCCCUGCCCUUUGUACACACCGCCCGUCGCUACUACCGAUUGAAUGGUUUAGUGAGAUCUCUGGAUUGACGCUGGCUAGGGGGCGACCCUUGGCCAGACUGUUGAGAAACUGCUCAAACUUGAUCAUUUAGAGGAAGUAAAAGUCGUAACA